RNAcentral lists this unclassified non-coding RNA (1577 nucleotides) under Hevea brasiliensis (rubber tree). Lineage: Eukaryota; Viridiplantae; Streptophyta; Magnoliopsida; Malpighiales; Euphorbiaceae. The record is from RNAcentral.
GCAAACCAUAUGGGCAAAUAACAUUAUUGCUGUACUGCCAUAUUCACUGCUGGGGAUACCGGCAUUUACCAUAGCUUGGAUCACUGAAGGUGACGAGUCCAGUGCCCUUGAAGUCGCAGUUCCAGUAGUUCCUUCCAUGCAUCUGAUAAUAUGCAUUCAUGGCAAAUGAUGCAUGUGCAUGGAGCUUGUCUGGUGCAAAACAAUUACCACUUUCAUAUAUCUCUCUGCAAUCCACUCCACCUGGUCCACAGCAGAAGUCCAACACAGCUUGAAGCACCUUCUCAUCUGCAUGGGGCUUAGCCACACACCAAACUGAAGGACCUCUUACUCCACUUGACGUUUUCUCUCCGAAUUCAAAUGUCCCUUCAUUGCUGCAGAACUGGCAGCUCAAAUCCACAUCGUAUACCUUAGAUCCAUCCCCAUUAAAAAUCCCAAAAUUUCUUUCACUCGCACCACCAUCCUUUUUGUUCUCAUUGAACAAAGCAAACACAAAUAUCUCUAUAUUAUCCUUAGGCUUCAUGGGCGUCCCUUUAUUGGACUGUGCACGUUGGAUCAACCUGGUAUUAUAAGUCUUUGCAUUAUCUGGAGUCGCUGCUGUGUCGCCAGGAUCACCUUUGGAUGGCCAACCAGAUUCCGACACUGUAAUCUUAACAGUCUGAUUUCCAUACCCUAGUGCGUUGAUGGCUGAUCUAACAGCAUCAAUUUGUGCAUCUAACAUAUUGUUGUAGAUAUAGCCCAUAGGAUCACGGACUCCGGUAGCAUUACCUAGUAAGGCAUACUGUAGAUUAACUGAACUAGGGUUGUCCCUGUAAGCGAAAUAUGGGUAAGCAUUGACCAUGAAAGAAGAACCAGUGUCAGCUAGAAAUCCCACCAAGGAGGUCAUGGUGGGCAUAAGGGUAGUGGCGAAAGAGGAAGCUGAAGGAGGAAAUGAGGAAGCAAGAACAGCCAUGCUAUGUGGGGUUGUGAUCUUGAUUUUGCGAUCAAGCCCACGUGCUACUAGCACUGCAUGCAAGUUCUGCAUGGCUUGAACAAGAUUAUUUGGGCGCAAAUGGUCGGGAUCUGUGGUUAAAUACUCAUUGCCUACGGCUAUGGCCACUAUGGAAGUGGCAGGAAUAAAGGGCAGCACACGGUUGGCAAACCACUCGUCUGCAGCUGAUACCUCGGAGCUGAUGUUUGCCACAUGAUAGUUCUCCACCGCGACAAUGAGGUCUAUUCCGGUGUUGGAAAAGGCCUCGAGGAUUUCAGGAUUAGUGUCGUAGAUUUUGACCUUGUCAAUGAGUGUGGACUGAAGGAGCUGCGCUACUCUCUUCGGUGAUGGGAGGUUGUUUCCGAGAGUACCAUAGUUUACUCCGACACUGGAAACUUUUUGGAAGGGGCAGAGAACAAGGAGAAGGAGAAGGAGCUGGAGAGAAGACAUUAAGGUUUGUUCAACUGUGGUACUGGGCAUUUAGAGCAUGAGUUUUGCUAGCUGGCUAGUGCAUAUAUAUAGCGGAUACCUGUAGCACUUUUCAUGGGGCAAAUACCAUCGGCCUUCGAAAGAGUUAAAAAAGGUUGGGACCUAGGCCAGCGAUACAAAG